Molecule: ribosomal RNA, 210 nt
Filed under: uncultured Acinetobacter sp.
Lineage: Bacteria; Pseudomonadati; Pseudomonadota; Gammaproteobacteria; Moraxellales; Moraxellaceae
Description: partial 16S ribosomal RNA
Rfam family: Bacterial small subunit ribosomal RNA
Source: RNAcentral
CGGGGACGACGUCAAGUCAUCAUGGCCCUUACGACCAGGGCUACACACGUGCUACAAUGGUCGGUACAAAGGGUUGCUACCUAGCGGAUAGGAUGCUAAUCUCAAAAAGCCGAUCGUAGUCCGGAUUGGAGUCUGCAACUCGACUCCAUGAAGUCGGAAUCGCUAGUAAUCGCGGAUCAGAAUGCCGCGGUGAAUACGUUCCCGGGCCUU